This 2715-nucleotide long non-coding RNA is filed under the name Gossypium barbadense (sea-island cotton). Its description in RNAcentral is "long non-coding RNA (GBAR_LNC005264)". Lineage: Eukaryota; Viridiplantae; Streptophyta; Magnoliopsida; Malvales; Malvaceae. The record is from RNAcentral.
UGCUAUGCAGUUAAAUCCAAAUUCUGAGGGGACUACCAUUCCAUUUUUUUGUUCAAAUAAUUUCACAGAGUAUGAGAUCUUCAUUCCUGCUCCAUUCGUUAAAAAUGUUGAAUGGUUAGUCGACACCUAGCCCAUGUAAUGGUUAUUCAAUAAAUACAAGGAAUAACUUAUAAUUUUUUCAUUCCUAGCAUACCCCUCACAAAAUCACAAAUUUACGAGCUUCUAUUAGGCAAAAACCUGGGACGUUCUUCUUUCACCAUUUUCUUCCAAACUUUCACUUUUCAUCCUGAGGGAAAGAAAGCUUAGAACAUCGAAUUCGUCUCCAGGUAAGCAUCAAUUUUCAUAGAUAAGAUUCAAGCUUUUUGAAAACUAAACAAUAUAGGUCUUGAGUUUGAUUUGAGUUUUUGAGUUUCUUUUUUCCUUAAACUGUUCAAGAACUUGAAAAUUGAAAAUUAUCAGAGCAUCAAAUUCGUCUCCAGGUAAGCAUCAAUUUUCAUAGGUAAGAUUCAAGCUUCUUGAAAACUAAACAAUAUAGGUCUUGAGUUUGAUUUGAGUUUUUGAGUUUCUUUUUUCCUUAAACUGUUCAAGAACUUGAAAAUUGAAAAUUAUCAGUCUUUGAUGCUUGGAAAGUGAAAACUUGAAAAUUGUUAUUUACAUGUUUUUAAUUUUCGUUUUGUGUUUAAUCUGAGAUGAAAAUGUAAAUAUUGUACUGAUAUGUUUUUCUAAAUCCAAAAAUUAGGGCUUCGAAUUGCAUUAUGCUCCCUUUAAGUUGUUUUGUUACUAUUUUGCUUUUAAGAAUUUCCCCUUAAGCUGAACUGGUUACUUAGGACCUCUAUCUGUAUGUAAUAGUUGGUGCUUUGAAUUCCAACUUGGAACGAAGGCAAGGUCAGCUUAAUUCUUUUACUUUUUUUCUUUUCAAAAUUCAAUAAUUUUGCUAUUUGGUUUGUGUUUAGAUUUGUUUCAUGUUCCAAGCAUAUAUGGUGCUUCAUCUUGUUUGACUAUGUAAUGCAACUGCUAAUUAUACUACAAGACGUUUACGACAAGUUCUUAUCCAUAAUCAUGUUAGAUAUGCUAUGGCUAUUUAAAUCAUGAAUCAUGAUCGAUAAAAAUGAGACAUGCAUUUCUUGAUGUUCAGGUGAAGCAGUAUAACUAGCAUGAUGUGGAGUCAGGGAAACUGAUUACUAUAUUUAGUGCUUCAGACUACCCACAAUUUCGAGCAUCUUCAUGAUAUUCAUUACUUUAUUUGUUGUCCUUCAAGAUUUAAAUGUUUGGUUUCUGCUUUGAUCUUGACAACAAAUGACAAAUUAUGUACAUGUUUUGGCUUAAGUUUCAUCCACAACAUCCUUUUGAAUAUUUUCUAUGGAUAUGUACCUAGAUUUUAUAUUACUGUUACUUUUUUGUGGUUAUGUGGAUGUCUUUUGAUAUCACUGAAGUGUUUUAGGAGGUUUGAAUGCCUUUCAUAAUGGAAAUAAAAAGUUGUUUUGUUUCUUGGACAUGGUUAGAGUGAAGUUAUGUGGUCUUGUUGAAAUGCAUCAAAAUUCAGAACAAUAUACAUAUAUUAAACUUACAUAUACUUAUAUGCCAAAGCUGAUUUGUGUUUUUUAUGCAAGUAAGUGAGAUAAUUGUAUGUGAUGGUACUAAUACCUAUUCAAGAUCCGGGUCAAGCAUAUAAAUAUAUCUAUCUAUUCCAUGUUGGUCUCAUAUAUAAAGGAAAACUAUGGAUAAGAUUCUAGUGGGAGCAAGAACAAUAUAUUUGUUGUGGGGGUGUCAUAUUCUCGAUAUCUUAUAUUUGUUGGUAUUAUGAUUGGUGAAGCAGAUUUCAGCAUUUUCCUUGGAACAAUCAGUGCACUUUAUUUUUUAUUUAACUAAAAAGAUGUUUAGCAAAGCAAUUUUUUCUUGCUCUUCAUAUUUCAUCUCUUUCUUAUGCAUAGUAAUUUGAAAAUUGUUGCAAGUAUCUUUAUUUCUUUAUUUUAGGCAAUAUUCCUAACAGAUACUCCAUUAAACAUCCAUGAAACUUGAAAAAAAUUCAUUGCAAGUAUCUUUAUUUCUUUAUUUUAGGCAAUAUUCCUAACAGAUACUCCAUUAAACAUCCAUGAAACUUGAAAAAAAUUCAUGCUCAUGGUUUAUGUUCUACUUUUGAAAUAAAAUAAAAAAAGUAGCCAUGCAAAUAAAUAAUAAUAAUGUAAUGAAUCUAAAUUUAAUAAAAUAAUUUUAAUAGUAAUAACGGUUGGAUUGGUAGAGCGAAUAAAUUAUUAGAAAUAAAAGUAUGGGUGAUUAAACAAGUGACAUGUAUUAAGCUUUUCUAAUACAUUUUAAAUUGGUCAAAUUUAAUUUCAGUCCCUAUACUACCUCAGAAAUUAUAAUGUCUUCAAAAGCAUAAGAGAAUUAUGGGUAUAGUCACAUCUUGAAGGGGCUCUAACACUGUAGCUGACCAUGUGGUGAAGCUGUGCAGGAAUGAUAAUCCUAAUUUGUUCCUUUAUGUGUAUGGGAAUUCAUAUUUAUUCAAAGGGGUAUGCAAGAAACUUCUUGGCAACAACAUUGUGUUGUUUAAUCUAGUAUUGUUCUUUUAAGGGUUUAACCCUCCUUUCAUUCUCUGUCCCCUCCCCCCCCCCCAAAAAAAAAAAACCAACUUAAUCUAGUUUUAUUCUUUUAAGGGGUUAUUUUGCUUAUUUUUUAUAAUCUAUAAGCAUCAUUUUGUUUAUUUUUCAAAUGGAG